RNAcentral lists this long non-coding RNA (1487 nucleotides) under Canis lupus familiaris (dog). RNAcentral describes it as "lncRNA (ENSCAFG00030007510.1)". The record is from RNAcentral. Lineage: Eukaryota; Metazoa; Chordata; Mammalia; Carnivora; Canidae.
UGUUGCAUCUCUUCUGCCACAUUAAGUGACAGCCACAGGUUCCCGGGAUGAGGACCUGGAUAACUUUUGGACAUUCGAGUUGUUCUUGCCCUGACACCUGCCCUAACCUCCUGAGAGCUCCAAGCUGCCGCCGGCCGGGGUGCGCCCAGUGUGGGCUGCGCAGCUGGUCCUUCUCUUGUGCGGGGCUGUUACCCCCGAGUCCCCGGACUUCCUGGCUCUGUCGUCUGUCCUUCCAAGUGACUGGUCGAAGUGUGUGCAAAGAUCCUGAGAUUCAGGCUUCGAGAAGACUUGCCGCUGUGGUUCCACAGCGCUGAUGUAUCAUGGACAUUCAACCCUCAGUCCAACUGCCACUAGCAAAGUAAGAAUUUGUGUUAAUCAUUUGACUCUUUGCAAAAAAAAAAAAAAAAAAUCAUUUGACCCUUUGCAUCCUCUGUUUCUCGUCUAUACAGUGGAGUUAAUAAGAGCUAUUUCAUUAGGGAAGUUGAAAAAAUAUUAAACAUAAGAAUGUACACAAAUCAUUUAGGAUGUUUUUUUUUGUUUUGUUUUGUUUUUUUUGUUUUUUUGUUUUUUUUAUUUAGGAUGUUUUAAUGCAAGUAACUGAAAACUUGAGUUGAACUGAUUUAAACAAUAAAGGGGGCAGCCCCGGUGGCGCAGCGGUUUAGCGCCGCCUGCAGCCCAGGUGUGAUCCUGGAGACCCUGGAUCGAGUCCUGCAUCGUGCUCCCUGCAUGGAGCCUGCUUCUGCCUCUGCCUGUGUCUCUGUGCCUCUCUGUCUCUAUGAAUAAAUAAAUAAAAUCUUUAAAAAAAAGUAAAGGAAAUCUACUGACUUGUGUAAAAAAAAAGAUUAGAGGCUUUCAGGCAUGGUUUGAUCCAGAGACACAAAUUCAUUAUUAUUAUUAAUACUGAAAGCCUUCGGUUCUCUGUACACCUCUUACCAUAUUUUAUUCCAGAUAUCUAAGACUUCUCUUUUUUCUUCUUUUAUUUAUUUUCCUCUUGCUUAUCUGCCUGAGAAAAGAUUUUACACAUAAGCAAGAUUAAGCAGGCUUGAUUUCAUUUCCUCUGGUCUACUGCUUGCUAACUGCACCUCUUUUGGUUCUUUCUGCUUUUGUUCUGCACCACGAUUUCCUUCCUUCUGUUCUCAAAUAUGUCAAGCUCAGUCCUGCCUCUUUUCCCUGAUGUUCAUUAGCUGCUUCCUCUGCCUGGCUUGAUUUUUCCUUGAUCACCUUAGGGCUGACUUCUUCAUAACCUCAUUUCGGAUCUCUUCUGUACAAUCCUUUCCUGGCCACUGUCUCUUGGAUUCAUACCCUGCCUUCUCUUAUUCUUCUGCUUUAUUUUCUUUAUAUUACUUAUGACUGUCUUUUUCCCCUUGUAAUUUGUUUAUUGGCUGCAUCUGUGUCCUCAAAGGGCCUUGUAAGUACCAAGAGGCAGGGACUUUGCCGGUCUGGCUUUUGCCUGUGCCUGGUUUUGCACCCGAAACAUUAGAAGUGCU